This 309-nucleotide ribosomal RNA is filed under the name Triticum aestivum (bread wheat). RNAcentral's name for it is "partial small subunit ribosomal RNA". Lineage: Eukaryota; Viridiplantae; Streptophyta; Magnoliopsida; Poales; Poaceae. The record is from RNAcentral.
AAUCAAAUUCUGAACUCCUAUGAAGCUUGCUCGGGCCAGGCUAUAAAUAAGGAAAAGUCAGCCAUCUUGUUCAGCAAGAAUACAAAGCUGGAGGACAAAGAGGAGCUCAUGAAUCAACUCAAUAUUGUUAUAGAAGGCUUCUCGGGAAAAUAUUUGGGUUUACCAUGCUAUAUUGGUAGAUCAAAAACCAAAGCUUUUGAAUAUAUCAAGGAAAAAGUAUGGAAAAGGUUACAAGGUGGGAAAGAAAAAUUGCUCUCAAAGGCCGGUAAGGAAGUCCUCAUCAAAGCUGUAGCGCAAGCAAUCCCUGUU